AGCUAGUUGGUGAGGUAACGGCCCACCAAGGCGACGAUCGGUAGCCGGACUGAGAGGUUGAACGGCCACAUUGGGACUGAGACACGGCCCAGACUCCUACGGGAGGCAGCAGUGGGGAAUAUUGCACAAUGGGGGAAACCCUGAUGCAGCGACGCCGCGUGGAGGAAGAAGGUCUUCGGAUUGUAACUCCUGUUGUUGAGGAAGAUAAUGACGGUACUCAACAAGGAAGUGACGGCUAACUACGUGCCAGCAGCCGCGGUAAAACGUAGGUCACAAGCGUUGUCCGGAAUUACUGGGUGUAAAGGGAGCGCAGGCGGGAAGACAAGUUGGAAGUGAAAUCCAUGGGCUCAACCCAUGAACUGCUUUCAAAACUGUUUUUCUUGAGUAGUGCAGAGGUAGGCGGAAUUCCCGGUGUAGCGGUGGAAUGCGUAGAUAUCGGGAGGAACACCAGUGGCGAAGGCGGCCUACUGGGCACCAACUGACGCCGAGGCUCGAAAGUGUGGGUAGCAAACAGGAUUAGAUACCCUGGUAGUCCACACUGUAAACGAUGAUUACUAGGUGUUGGAGGAUUGACCCCUUCAGUGCCGCAGUUAACACAAUAAGUAAUCCACCUGGGGAGUACGACCGCAAGGUUGAAACUCAAGGGAAUUGACGGGGGCCCGCACAAGCAGUGGAGUAUGUGGUUUAAUUCGACGCAACGCGAAGAACCUUACCAAGUCUUGACAUCCUGCGACGCACAUAGAAAUAUGUGUUUCCUUCGGGACGCAGAGACAGGUGGUGCAUGGUUGUCGUCAGCUCGUGUCGUGAGAUGUUGGGUUAAGUCCCGCAACGAGCGCAACCCUUAUGGUCAGUUACUACGCAAGAGGACUCUGGCCAGACUGCCGUUGACAAAACGGAGGAAGGUGGGGAUGACGUCAAAUCAUCAUGCCCUUUAUGACUUGGGCUUCACACGUACUACAAUGGCGUUAAACAAAGAGAAGCAAGACCGCGAGGUGGAGCAAAACUCAGAAACAACGUCCCAGUUCGGACUGCAGGCUGCAACUCGCCUGCACGAAGACGGAAUUGCUAGUAAUCGCAGAUCAGCAUGCUGCGGUGAAUACGUUCCCGGGCCUUGUACACACCGCCCGUCACACCAUGAGAGCCGGGGGGACCCGAAGUCGGUAGUCUAACCGCAAGGAGGACGCCGCCGAAGGUAAAACUGGUGAUUGGGGUGAAGUCGUAACAAGGUAGCCGUAGGAGAACCUGCGGCUG
RNAcentral lists this ribosomal RNA (1251 nucleotides) under metagenome. RNAcentral's name for it is "bacterial SSU rRNA". It matches the Rfam family "Bacterial small subunit ribosomal RNA", at positions 243 to 1520 of the family's 1533-position model. The record is from RNAcentral.